UCAAAUGCAACUGGUCUUUACUGAGAUGGGCAAGGUCUCAUUCCCAUUCAAGGCUGGGCAUGGACAGGGUGCAAAAGUUGAUAUUCAUUGCUGCUCAUUCAAAAAUCGAAAGGCGGGAUUUUUCCAAUGACGAAGAUAAGGAUGCUGAGCUCUUUGACUUGGAUAAUGGUGAGGACAAUGUGCUCAAUGAGGUUUUUGUUGAUACAUCCUCUGCAAGCGUUUGACGAGGACAUUGUUAGACCGGCAAGAUCUCCAUAGGUUGCUACUAGUCGAGAAUUUUUCAUUUCACAAAAUGCCAGACUAUUGUUGGGAUCAAAUGUGGGCUCGGAACCAGGUUUUGCUAUCACAUCCAACAACCUGAGAAAACACGGUGUCGACCUUUCUAUCUGGAGUAGCACUUCCAGCUGUUACUGUAUCAUACCUAUCUUCUGCAUUGUGUGCUUUUUGGCAGGGUCGAGCCCCACCACGAAUGAAGUGCGAGUCUAUUUUCCAAAAUUUUGUGGCGCUUCAAUUAAAUCAUAUCAGGGUAGCUUCUCCUUUAAACAUUCCAAAGCUUGUGAUGUUCAUGCAGAGUAUUGGAUGAUGCUCUUCAUCAUUGCAAAAAGGUUGUGAGAGGACCCCAGAGGCAUGAGCCAACACAAAAGAAGCUCGAAAGCGAUUUUUUAACAAAGAGGAACUAAUUUUCCGGAUUCCAGUUCGCUUUGAGAAGUGGGAAACUAUCAUUACUGGGUAAUUGCUAUAGUACUCGAGUAGUAUUAUUCAACAUGUUCAUAGUUCAUAAAGUGUCUGUACAAAAAUGAGCUAACUUGUACAUGAUUUAUGAGAUUGAAAAUAUGUUUCAUGUU
Olea europaea var. sylvestris is the source of this 845-nucleotide long non-coding RNA. RefSeq lists it as uncharacterized. NCBI's taxonomy places the organism in Eukaryota, Viridiplantae, Streptophyta, Magnoliopsida, Lamiales, Oleaceae. The record is from RefSeq and is a predicted model, not a curated record. The transcript is spliced from 2 exons.